Molecule: ribosomal RNA, 207 nt
Filed under: uncultured bacterium
Lineage: Bacteria
Description: partial 16S ribosomal RNA
Rfam family: Bacterial small subunit ribosomal RNA
Source: RNAcentral
CUCGUAGGCGGUUCGUCGCGUCCGGUGUGAAAGUCCAUCGCUUAACGGUGGAUCCGCGCCGGGUACGGGCGGGCUUGAGUGCGGUAGGGGAGACUGGAAUUCCCGGUGUAACGGUGGAAUGUGUAGAUAUCGGGAAGAACACCAAUGGCGAAGGCAGGUCUCUGGGCCGUCACUGACGCUGAGGAGCGAAAGUGUGGGGAGCGAACA